CGUUACCGUUACAGCUGUGUGUGCUUGAAUGAGGGUUCUUUGGCGUUACAAAGGGGUCCCACCUUGAGGAGGUGGUACAUCAGCAACUUUUUACCUAUGAGCUUUCUCCUAAAUGUACAGGGCGUUGUCGCUCUGCCCUUCCAAAGCUGGGACAGCAAGACUGGCGGCAUAAAGAACUCUGCGCUACCAUCUAACGACACACAAACUUUUUCAGGAUACAAGUGCCUCAGCAAUCUUUCCAAAAGAUCAGUUCCAGCGACGAAGAGCAAUCUCCAUGAACCCUCUCACCAGGAGAAGAAUCGGAGGCCGACCUAUAUUCUUCAUUACAUCUGACAAGCACACAAUUGGAAGAACUGAUAGCUACCACAAAUUGUCUUUUUGAGACUAAAGCAUCCCCAGAACCUCAAAACGCAAUGCUUCCAAAGAGUGGUUAUUCUUCUAAAGGUUCCAGUCAGCCUCUAGAAUCGGCACAAAGGCCCUCGGACAGUCUGUUAUUGAAUAUCUCUUUCACACAGCUCGAACCGGCUUCGCCAAGCUUACUGACUCAGAUACUCGGGGAUUCACCGCUGUUUGUAUCAUCACCCGAACUUCUCACCCAAAUUGUUGGCGAAUCCAAAAGAAUUGAUGCCAGGGCUAAGGUUGCUGAGCUGAAGGCUGAAAUCGACCGAGUUCUGUUGGAUUUUCAAAGUGCAUUACCUGAUCUUUUUUCACGUUCUCCAGAUUUAAAGUGAAAAGGUUAUUUUAUUGUAUGCUA
Polypterus senegalus (gray bichir) is the source of this 754-nucleotide long non-coding RNA. RefSeq lists it as uncharacterized. The transcript is spliced from 5 exons. The record is from RefSeq and is a predicted model, not a curated record. Lineage: Eukaryota; Metazoa; Chordata; Cladistia; Polypteriformes; Polypteridae.